This 429-nucleotide ribosomal RNA is filed under the name Macroconia phlogioides. Its description in RNAcentral is "partial large subunit ribosomal RNA". It matches the Rfam family "Eukaryotic large subunit ribosomal RNA", at positions 116 to 555 of the family's 3401-position model. Lineage: Eukaryota; Fungi; Ascomycota; Sordariomycetes; Hypocreales; Nectriaceae. The record is from RNAcentral.
UGAAAUCUGGCUCUUGUAGUCCGAGUUGUAAUUUGUAGAGGAUGCUUUUGGUGAGGUGCCUUCCGAGUUCCCUGGAACGGGACGCCAUAGAGGGUGAGAGCCCCGUCUGGUCGGACACCGAUCCUCUGUAAAGCUCCUUCGACGAGUCGAGUAGUUUGGGAAUGCUGCUCUAAAUGGGAGGUAUAUGUCUUCUAAAGCUAAAUAUUGGCCAGAGACCGAUAGCGCACAAGUAGAGUGAUCGAAAGAUGAAAAGCACUUUGAAAAGAGGGUUAAACAGUACGUGAAAUUGUUGAAAGGGAAGCGCUUAUGACCAGACUUGGGCCCGGUUAAUCAUCCAGCGUUCUCGCUGGUGCACUUGGCCGGCCCAGGCCAGCAUCAGUUCGGCGCGGGGGAUAAAGGCUUUAGGAAUGUGGCUCCCUCGGGAGUGUU